GAUGAACGCUGGCGGCGUGCUUAACACAUGCAAGUCGAACGGGAUCCCAGGAGCUUGCUCCUGGGUGAGAGUGGCGAACGGGUGAGUAAUGCGUGACCAACCUGCCCCAUACACCGGAAUAGCUCCUGGAAACGGGUGGUAAUGCCGGAUGCUCCAGUUGACCGCAUGGUCCUCUGGGAAAGCUUUUGCGGUAUGGGAUGGGGUCGCGUCCUAUCAGCUUGAUGGCGGGGUAACGGCCCACCAUGGCUUCGACGGGUAGCCGGCCUGAGAGGGCGACCGGCCACAUUGGGACUGAGAUACGGCCCAGACUCCUACGGGAGGCAGCAGUGGGGAAUAUUGCACAAUGGGCGCAAGCCUGAUGCAGCGACGCCGCGUGCGGGAUGACGGCCUUCGGGUUGUAAACCGCUUUUGACUGGGAGCAAGCCCUUCGGGGUGAGUGUAC
Molecule: ribosomal RNA, 442 nt
Filed under: uncultured bacterium
Lineage: Bacteria
Description: bacterial SSU rRNA
Rfam family: Bacterial small subunit ribosomal RNA
Source: RNAcentral